UGGGGAAUUUUGGACAAUGGGGGCAACCCUGAUCCAGCAAUGCCGCGUGUGUGAAGAAGGCCUUCGGGUUGUAAAGCACUUUUGUCCGGGAAGAAAUCGCACCUGAUAAUACCGGGUGUGGAUGACGGUACCGGAAGAAUAAGGACCGGCUAACUACGUGCCAGCAGCCGCGGUAAUACGUAGGGUCCAAGCGUUAAUCGGAAUUACUGGGCGUAAAGCGUGCGCAGGCGGUUGUGCAAGACCGAUGUGAAAUCCCCGGGCUUAACCUGGGAAUUGCAUUGGGGACUGCACGGCUAGAGUGUGUCAGAGGGGGGUAGAGGUCCACGGGUAGCAGUGAAAGGCGUAGAGAUGUGGAGGAAUACCGAUGGCGAAGGCAGCCCCCUGGGAUAACACUGACGCACAUGCACGAAAGCGUGGGGAGCAAACAGG
RNAcentral lists this ribosomal RNA (429 nucleotides) under Bacillota bacterium. RNAcentral's name for it is "Firmicutes bacterium partial 16S ribosomal RNA". It matches the Rfam family "Bacterial small subunit ribosomal RNA", at positions 355 to 776 of the family's 1533-position model. The record is from RNAcentral. Lineage: Bacteria; Bacillati; Bacillota.